Xiphias gladius (swordfish) is the source of this 583-nucleotide long non-coding RNA. RefSeq lists it as uncharacterized. The record is from RefSeq and is a predicted model, not a curated record. The transcript is spliced from 4 exons. NCBI's taxonomy places the organism in Eukaryota, Metazoa, Chordata, Actinopteri, Istiophoriformes, Xiphiidae.
CUCCUGUUGUACCGGAGGAGCCCCGUAGGCGGCGCAGCGUAGAUAAUUGACUUUAGUCUAAAAGGAGAGAAACGAGCGUGCGGUUGGCGUUGGCGUCGUAAACCGAUGUCAGCGAGGAAAACGUUUGAUAGACGUGAGUUGGACAGUUGAGGUUACACGAGGAACAGUAACGUACGACUGCCGAGGGAGGCGGUGACGGGCACCCGAACUAGCUAGCUAACUUUAGCAUCAGACUCCCAGAGUCAAUUGAAGAAUGCAGGUGAAAUGGACUCAGCCACUUCAUAUAUAAAUUGUGGAAGUGAGUUUGAAAAUGUGAGAGCAGCAUGAUGCACCAACGGAGUGUCACAAGGGCAUAUGCAGUGCAACACUAACAUCUCCAAUCUUGACUUCCCAAAGCAAAGGAAAAACAAGAUGAGGACACUGGACCUGUGGUGAGGGUGGGUUUCCGCUUCCUUGGCCGCCCCGGUCCUCGUCGUGCUGGGCUGCGAGGUGUUUCCUCCUUCCUGCUUGCACACGCAAACAGACAGAGAGGAACUCGUGAGAUACUACACAUAUAAACAUAUAAACUCCAGAGGUUGACACA